AUUGAACGCUGGCGGCAGGCCUAACACAUGCAAGUCGAGCGGAUGAAGGGAGCUUUCUCCUGGCUUCCGCGGCGGACGGGUGAGUAAUGCAUAGGAAUCUGCCUGGUAGUGGGGGAUAACGUCCGGAAACGGGCGCUAAUACCGCAUACGUCCUGAUGGAGAAAGGGGUGGAUCUUCAGAGCUCGCGCUAUCUGAUGAGACUAGGUCGGAUUAGCUAGUUGGUUGGGUAAAGGCCUACCAAGGCGACGAUCCGUAACUGGUCUGAGAGGAUGAUCAGUCACACUGGAACUGAGACACGGUCCAGACUCCUACGGGAGGCAGCAGUGGGGAAUAUUGGACAAUGGGCGAAAGCCUGAUCCAGCAAUGCCGCGUGUGUGAAGAAGGUCUUCGGAUUGUAAAGCUCUUUAAGUUGGGAGGAAGGGCAGUAAGUUAAUACCUUGCUGUUUUGACGUUACCAACAGAAUAAGCACCGGCUAACUUCGUG
RNAcentral lists this ribosomal RNA (484 nucleotides) under uncultured bacterium. RNAcentral's name for it is "partial 16S ribosomal RNA". It matches the Rfam family "Bacterial small subunit ribosomal RNA", at positions 30 to 507 of the family's 1533-position model. The record is from RNAcentral.